AUGAGCCUCGAGGGUAUAUUAUCUCCGAAGAAAAUGAGCUUUUCGUUUUUUUAACUUUUGCACGACGACAGAAACUGCUAAAUUGAAUGGUUGAGUUGAAAGACUGUCGAAUGUGCAGUUAGUCAUCUGGGAGGAGCCGACUCGCCCUGCGUAGCGAAGGGAUCUGUCAGCGCGGCGGAUCGUCAAUUCUCAGACUCACUUUGGGAAUCGGACUAUGUUAUGGUGUUUUCAGAGGAUGCGUGUGCCGGUUCACACUGCAGAAGAAAAGGGGUCAGGGAAGGCUUGACAACCCUGACUCCAUCUUGCAUCGGCCACCAUUUUGUGGAGUUCUCUGAAGAGCAGCCCCUCUUGGAAUCAUGAUAAACAUCCUGAGGUUUGCACACCUGGCAAGUUCCCCCCGUCUCACAGAACUGAGCAAAAGAGGUCAGCCCAUCACUCGGCAACCCAUACCAAUUGAAAUUUCUCCCUCGCUGGGGCUCGCUCCUGAGGUUUUUCCUAAACAGUUUGGAGCAGCCGAGGAAAAGAUGUGAAGCAACCUAGGCGCCUCCUGCGGACCUCCGGACGUGGCGAAGUGAGCACCGCACCCCGUGUUGCUUCUCUUAGGACGGCUCCUGUCAUGGGGGGAGGGGUGACAGGCAUGGUCCUCUCAUAUCCCCGAACUCCCACCUCGGUAGAGCUCAGGAGACUUUUCUUUCUUUCCUUUUUUUCUUUUUUUUCUUUAAGAUUUUAUUUUUAAAAAAUCUACACACCCAAGGUGAGGCUUGAACUCAGGACCCUGAGAUCGAGUCUCAUGCUCCAUGGGCUGAGACAGUCAGUCACCCUGAGACUUUUUUGGGGGUAACAGAGUUCCUCACUGUUAGCUGUUCAGGGGAGGGUUCCUCCCAUACCGAAUGGGUACCAGUCUCUCAGAAAGAGAUUUCAAUGAUCAGCCUGCUGAUUGUACAGAUAAAAACUAUGGCCCAGAGGCACCAGGGUGGCUAACCAUCUGAUUUCGGCUCAGGUCCUGAUCUCAUGGUUGUGAGAUGGAACCUUGCCUCAGGCUCCUCGCCCAGUGGGAGUCUGCUUCUCUCCCUCUCCCUUUGCCCUCCCAUGAUCACGCUUGCUGGCUCUCUAAACAGAUAAAUACAAUCUUAAAAGAACAAAAAAACUAUGGCCCAGGGGGCUGUAGGUUUCCUCAACCUGGGUUCAAAUUACUAAAUAUUUAAAACUUCACUGGCCUCAUUGGGGCACCUUUGAUAUCCCUAAAUUGGUGUAUUUAAGAGCACAAUUGGAAAGGUGAAGCUAUCAUACUUCACAAAAUCAAUGGAAGCCUAUUUCAGUUGGUACUUAGAAGCCCCCAAAAGAACUUACUUAGUCAUAGCCUCUGUAAAAAAAAAACAAAACUCAAAAGUCAAAGAUGAAAACAA
Molecule: long non-coding RNA, 1406 nt
Organism: Ailuropoda melanoleuca (giant panda)
Lineage: Eukaryota; Metazoa; Chordata; Mammalia; Carnivora; Ursidae
Exons: 2
Source: RefSeq, a predicted model, not a curated record